Molecule: non-coding RNA, 128 nt
Organism: Triticum aestivum (bread wheat)
Lineage: Eukaryota; Viridiplantae; Streptophyta; Magnoliopsida; Poales; Poaceae
Source: Rfam
UAGAUACUCCCUCCGUCCGGAAAUACUUGUCAUCAAAAUGAAUAAAAGAAGAUGUAUUUAGAUGUAUUUUAGUUUUAAAUACACCCCUUUUUGUCCAUUUUGAUGUUUUCGAACGGAGAGAGUACAUC